Lucilia cuprina (Australian sheep blowfly) is the source of this 1955-nucleotide long non-coding RNA. RefSeq lists it as uncharacterized. The transcript has 5 exons. The record is from RefSeq and is a predicted model, not a curated record. Lineage: Eukaryota; Metazoa; Arthropoda; Insecta; Diptera; Calliphoridae.
GGAAAAAUGUGUGAGUGUGUGCUUAAAAGUGAUUUAUUUUAUGUUGGCAAUACUAAGCGGAAAUGAUCAUAUGAAAUGCUUUAAUUUUGUAGCUACAACAAAGUGUUUGUGACAACAAAUAGCCAGAAUUUUUAUCACCCAUGAAGAUGUAAAUUCAAUAUUUAAACCACCCAACAAUUUGACCGUUCAUGCAUUCAACCAAUUCACAAGACACAAACAAAACAACAACUCAACAUCAUCUUAACGUGUGUGUGUAUGUGUUUUAAUACAUUCAACCAUUUUACGCUUUGAAGGAAUAAAAAAAAUAAAUAAAUGAUCGGUAAAUUUAAAAGGAAAUUAAAUCCGAAAAUGAGGAAAUCAAACAAAUCAUAAAACAGCAAACAUGCACAGACAAAAUACAUCUUAGAAUUUAAGGUGGCUUAAAACGAGAAAGUAAAACAGAUGAUGACGAACCUGAUGAUGAUCUUUAGAACCUGUAAAAGCAAAGAUUGCAGUACACCAUCACCAGCAGCAUCAACUAACAUUAUCGACAUUUUCAACAUCAAGUAGUGUGUUCUGCCACGACCUACGAUGUUGAUAAAUGUUUGUUGGCGGCGUUGCUUUAUAUGAAAAAAGAGUUGAAAUUCCCAUGAAAGUGAGCAAACAUAAUAAAAUAGACAAUAUUCAACACUUCAUGUUCAUCAGCUAAACUGCUGCCGCUGCUGUUGGUUGUUGUUUGUCUAUGGCAAAUGGCUGGAUUAAUGCUCUUAUCCAGAGAUAUGGAUAUACAUAGAUGGAUGUAUCGAUGGAUGGAUGAAUGAUGACUUCAUGUUGAAAGAAAGUGAAGGCAUGCAGUAAAAAUGUGGACGUGCAACUAUCAAAGGGUAUUGUCUAUGAAGCUAACAAAUACCAACAGGUGUCAUAAACAAUUAGAGGAUUUGGCGUAAAAUUUCUUUUAGAGGUUGCUUAUAAUGGUCAAAUGGCAUCUAAACAGAUAUCGGUUUAGUAUAAGAAAUAAAAAAGAAUCGAAUCUUGAAUAUUUCUUCAAAAUUUUAAUAAGUAUUAGUAUACUAAGGCAAUUCGUUCCGAAAUAUCACUGAUAUAUGAAGUUGAGGCCAUACAAAUCAGUGGUCAGCACGAAGAUAACAUGACGCAUAUACAUAUGUAUAAGUAUUCUAUAAAUAAUUUGCUCAUCUCCAAGAAAAUCUAUGACAUUCGAAAUUUAACGGUCACUAGUUGUGCACAAACCAUUAUCCGUUCGUUAACAAAAUAUUGAACUGAUUAACAUCCCAGCCCGAACAUAGUUCUAAACAUUACGAUUUUUACUACUUAAGAUUAAAGGACACUAUCAAAAUAUUGAAAUGUUUAGUGUUUACCAUUAUUUACAUGAACCAAAGCCACAAUCAACAUAUCAAAAGGGACAAUAUUUAAAUUGGUUUUGACACACAACAAAGAUGUCUGGCUGACAGCGUACAAACACAACGAAACGGUCCAGCGAACUCUUGAUUUGUACAUUAAAGGGGAUGGAUGCAUUUAACAGGUCAUCAUCAUGAUCUUCACGGAUACCUCUUCAUUGUGAGCAGCUUAAUAUUUAUUAUAAACAUUGUGUGUUGGUCAAUGUUUGUUAUGACGUUUGAAUGAAGAAUGAUUUUUGUUGUGGUCGAAAGUACAAAUGUUGAAGAAAUAUUGUUUAUUCAUCACAUGAGUAUGACGACGACGUCAGCGAUCCAUCUUCAUCGACAAUUGAAAAGAAAAACAAAGAUCAAACAUUAACUGAAGCAAGAAGGAGAUUUAAAAUAUUUAUUGUUGCUGAGAUGACAUGAUGAUGCCAAGGAAAACUCAAAAUUAAAUAUUUGAUUAAGAUUUGAAAACAUUUUACUUUUAUUUUUUAUGUAUUUUACAUAUACAUAUGUAUGUAGAAAAUAUUUUGUAGCAAAAUGUAGAAUUUAUUAUUGAAUUGUAAUAUAAGUAUAAGA